UGGAGAGAGGGAACAAGCUGGGGACAGAUGAACAAUGGAGAUGGAUGGACAAUUCGGGGAAGGCUGGACAGGUCAUAAAGGAAGGCAGGACCGGGUGUCCAAAGGCAGGGAGGGAGGGGAACCACCCUUUGGCCAGAGCCCCAAACCCCAGGCCCUGACCCCUCACCCGCCACUGGAUGUCCCCCCGGAAGAGUUCACUCUGAGCGAUGUCCACGCGGUUCCAAGCCACAGCCAAACGCAGCUCGUCCAGGUGGAGGCAGAGGACGAGGGCUGAGCAUACAUGCUCACUGCUCCACACAGCGCCUGGUGCACCCCAGAAGCCUAAGGAGUGAACCCCAUCCAUCCUCUGCUACCUGAAAGGCCAUGUGGCCAGCGCCUGAGUCCCCAGAGACUCACAGCCCCACCCCUGAACCACAGCUUACAGAGCUGCUGCGCUUUCUCCUGGGAGCCUGCUGGGUUAACUUCUGAAAAGCAAACCGGAUUUGCCCACUGGCUGUCACCCUCCGUUUGAAGAUGUGUCCCCAAGGAGACAGAAUCACACAAGAGCCCCCCUUCAUGGGGUCCCCACUGAGGACCAGGCACUGCCACUGGGGCCCACGAUGCUCCUGCUAGCAGAAAAAAACAAGCCUUAAGCCCAGAAAAAUUGGGCUGCCAAAGUGCCCAGCCGGAAG
This 671-nucleotide long non-coding RNA is filed under the name Heterocephalus glaber (naked mole-rat). Its description in RNAcentral is "lncRNA (ENSHGLG00000038298.1)". The record is from RNAcentral. Lineage: Eukaryota; Metazoa; Chordata; Mammalia; Rodentia; Bathyergidae.